AAAAAAACAGGUGCUCCAAAAUACAAUGGGCAUGGGCAAGGAAACUCUCUCCACCACAGAUACAACCGGCGCUACCUUCAAGCUAGUUGGCUUCAAUAAUUUCAUCCGUGCUAAUCCCCGUUCCGAUUUCUUCUCCGUAAAACGCUUCCACCAUAUCGAAUUCUGGUGCGGCGAUGCAACCAAUACAUCUCGUCGUUUCUCUUGGUCUCUUGGCAUGCCGAUUACAGCAAAAUCAGACCUCUCCACCGGAAAUUCAGUUCAUGCGUCGUAUCUCCUCCGUUCUGUUUCAGGCGAACUUCAAUUUGUUUUCACUGCUCCUUAUUCGCCGUCAAUUUCAGUACCGUCAACGGCAGGUAUACCUAGUUUUUCCACCCCUACUUAUCGGGAUUUUACGGCGAAGCAUGGUCUUGGUGUUCGUGCUGUUGCGUUGGAGGUGGAGAACGCUUACCUGGCGUUCUCCGCUAGUGUGGCUCGUGGGGCGAAACCCCGGUUUGAACCUGUAACGAUUGAUGAGCAUGUGGCUGUUGCUGAAGUUCAUCUAUAUGGCGAUGUCGUUUUGCGGUUUGUGAGUCUUGUUAAAGAUGCGGAUACCCUCAUUUUCCUACCAGGUUUUGAGGCCAUGGAUGAAACAUCAUCAUUCAAGGAACUGGAUUAUGGGAUUCACCGACUGGACCAUGCCGUUGGGAAUGUGCCGGAGUUGGGUCCUGUAGUGGACUACAUCAAGGCAUUUACGGGGUUUCAUGAAUUUGCGGAGUUUACAGCUGAAGAUGUUGGAACUGCUGAGAGCGGGCUGAACUCAGUUGUGUUGGCAAACAAUGACGAGACAGUAUUGCUUCCGUUGAAUGAGCCGGUAUAUGGAACUAAAAGGAAGAGUCAAAUUCAGACUUAUUUAGAGCAUAAUGAAGGGGCAGGAGUGCAACAUUUAGCUUUGGUUACUGAGGAUAUAUUCAGAACAUUGAGGGAAAUGUGGAAAAGGAGUGGAGUUGGGGGAUUUGAAUUCAUGCCUGCACCUCCGCCUACUUAUUAUAAGAAUUUGAGAAGUAGGGCCGGGGAUGUACUCAGUGACGAACAAAUCCAGGCGUGUGAAGAAUUGGGGAUCUUGGUUGACAGGGAUGAUCAGGGGACUCUGCUUCAGAUAUUUACCAAGCCUGUGGGAGACAGGCCAACAAUAUUUAUAGAAAUAAUUCAGAGAAUCGGGUGCAUGCUCAAAGAUGAAAAAGGACAAGUCUAUCAGAAGGGCGGUUGUGGAGGCUUCGGUAAGGGAAACUUCUCUGAGCUGUUUAGAUCGAUCGAGGAAUACGAGAAGAUGCUUGAAGCCAAACAUGUUAAUCAAGUAGCUGCUGUCGAAUGAAUAUAUACGAGCAUUAGCUUGCAAUCUAAUUGAAAUUUGAAAGGGGCAUCUAAGCUUCCAUUUGAUCUUUCUACAAUUAAUUAUGAAAUAAAAAAUAGCUGUUGUGUAAAUAGCAUGGAGGGAAACAAAGUCAAGUAAUUUAAGUAUAAUGUUGAUCAUAAGUCC
Molecule: unclassified non-coding RNA, 1516 nt
Filed under: Hevea brasiliensis (rubber tree)
Lineage: Eukaryota; Viridiplantae; Streptophyta; Magnoliopsida; Malpighiales; Euphorbiaceae
Source: RNAcentral